RNAcentral lists this ribosomal RNA (520 nucleotides) under uncultured bacterium. Its description in RNAcentral is "bacterial SSU rRNA". It matches the Rfam family "Bacterial small subunit ribosomal RNA", at positions 355 to 896 of the family's 1533-position model. The record is from RNAcentral.
UGGGGAAUAUUGCACAAUGGGGGAAACCCUGAUGCAGCGACGCCGCGUGAGCGAAGAAGGUUUUCGAAUCGUAAAGCUCUGUCCUAUGAGAAGAUAAUGACGGUAUCAUAGGAGGAAGCCCCGGCUAAAUACGUGCCAGCAGCCGCGGUAAUACGUAUGGGGCGAGCGUUGUCCGGAAUUAUUGGGCGUAAAGGGUACGUAGGCGGCCUUUUAAGUCAGGUGUGAAAGCGUGAGGCUUAACCUCAUUAAGCACUUGAAACUGGAAGGCUUGAGUGAAGGAGAGGAAAGUGGAAUUCCUAGUGUAGCGGUGAAAUGCGUAGAUAUUAGGAGGAAUACCGGUGGCGAAGGCGACUUUCUGGACUUUUACUGACGCUCAGGUACGAAAGUGUGGGGAGCAAACAGGAUUAGAUACCCUGGUAGUCCACGCCGUAAACGAUGAAUGCUAGGUGUUGGGAGUCAAAUCUCGGUGCCGAAGUUAACACAUUAAGCAUUCCGCCUGGGGAGUACGGUGGCAACACUG